Molecule: unclassified non-coding RNA, 354 nt
Filed under: soil metagenome
Description: partial contains 5.8S ribosomal RNA, internal transcribed spacer 2, and large subunit ribosomal RNA
Rfam family: 5.8S ribosomal RNA (bases 1-120)
Source: RNAcentral
GAUGAAGAACGUAGCGAAAUGCGAUAUGUAAUGUGAAUUGCAGAAUUCCGUGAAUCAUCGAAUCUUUGAACGCACAUUGCGCCCCCUGGCAUUCCGGGGGGCAUGCCUGUCCGAGCGUCAUUUCUGCCCUCCAGCCCGGCUGGGUGUUGGGCGCUGUCCCCCCGGGGACACGCCCCAAAGGCAGUGGCGGCGCCGCGUCGGGUCCUCGAGCGUAUGGGGCUUUGUCACCCGCUCGGGACGGACUCGUCGGCGCUGGUCUUCCUCCAGGCGACCCUUCGGGGCUCGUCUUCCUUCGGUUGACCUCGGAUCAGGUAGGGUUACCCGCUGAACUUAAGCAUAUCAAUAAGCGGAGGA